GUGCUCACUUUGGCAGCAUAUAUAUUAAAAUUGGAAUGAUAUGGAGAUUAGCAUGGCCCCUGAACAAAGAUGACAUGCAAAUUCAUGAAGCAUUCCAUAUUGAA
This is a non-coding RNA of Canis lupus familiaris (dog), 104 nucleotides long. The record is from Rfam. Lineage: Eukaryota; Metazoa; Chordata; Mammalia; Carnivora; Canidae.